CCCUACGGGGUGCAGCAGGCGCGAAACCUCCGCAAUGCGCGAAAGCGCGACGGGGGGACUCCGAGUGCCCACGCCCUGCGUGGGCUUCUCCGGAGUGUAAACAGCUCCGGGAAUAAGGGCUGGGCAAGACCGGUGCCAGCCGCCGCGGUA
RNAcentral lists this ribosomal RNA (150 nucleotides) under uncultured archaeon. RNAcentral's name for it is "partial 16S ribosomal RNA". It matches the Rfam family "Archaeal small subunit ribosomal RNA", at positions 321 to 472 of the family's 1478-position model. The record is from RNAcentral.